RNAcentral lists this transfer RNA (73 nucleotides) under Vicugna pacos (alpaca). RNAcentral's name for it is "tRNA-Ala (AGC) (tRNA-Ala-AGC-409-1)". It matches the Rfam family "tRNA". From Rfam's summary of the family: Transfer RNA (tRNA) molecules are approximately 80 nucleotides in length. The record is from RNAcentral. Lineage: Eukaryota; Metazoa; Chordata; Mammalia; Artiodactyla; Camelidae.
GGAGGGUAUGGCUCAGUGGUAGAGCAUAUGCUUAGCAUGCAUGAGGUCCUGGGUUCAAUCCCCAGUAUCUCCA